RNAcentral lists this ribosomal RNA (503 nucleotides) under uncultured Actinomycetes bacterium. RNAcentral describes it as "bacterial SSU rRNA". It matches the Rfam family "Bacterial small subunit ribosomal RNA", at positions 8 to 522 of the family's 1533-position model. The record is from RNAcentral. Lineage: Bacteria; Bacillati; Actinomycetota; Actinomycetes.
AGAGUUUGAUCAUGGCUCAGGACGAACGCUGGCGGCGUGCUUAACACAUGCAAGUCGAACGGUGACGAUCAAGCUUGCUUGGUCUGAUCAGUGGCGAACGGGUGAGUAACACGUGAGUAACCUGCCCCAGACUCUGGGAUAACCCCGGGAAACCGGAGCUAAUACCGGAUAUGACACCAACCUGCAUGGGUAUGGUGUGGAAAGUUUUUCGGUCUGGGAUGGACUCGCGGCCUAUCAGCUUGUUGGUGAGGUAAUGGCUCACCAAGGCGACGACGGGUAGCCGGCCUGAGAGGGCGACCGGCCACACUGGGACUGAGACACGGCCCAGACUCCUACGGGAGGCAGCAGUGGGGAAUAUUGCACAAUGGGCGAAAGCCUGAUGCAGCGACGCCGCGUGAGGGAUGACGGCCUUCGGGUUGUAAACCUCUUUCAGCAGGGAAGAAGCGCAAGUGACGGUACCUGCAGAAGAAGCACCGGCUAACUACGUGCCAGCAGCCGCGGUA